This 311-nucleotide long non-coding RNA is filed under the name Elaeis guineensis (African oil palm). Its description in RNAcentral is "long non-coding RNA (EGUI_LNC065674)". The record is from RNAcentral. Lineage: Eukaryota; Viridiplantae; Streptophyta; Magnoliopsida; Arecales; Arecaceae.
GGACGGGGCUUACCAGCAGUUGACGUUGAGGAUGGAGCCUGGCUCCCGUAGGAGUCCGGGCGGAGUCUACUUGAGGUCGAAGUUGUCGGCGGAGUCCGGCUUCCGUAGGAGUCCGGACGAAGUCUGUCUGCAGCCGUUGGAGUCGAGGAUGAAGCCCGACUCUCGUAGGAGUCCGGGUGGAGUCUUCCUGUAAUUAAAGUUAAAGGCGAAGUCCGGCUCCCGUAGGAGUCCGGACGGGGCUUACCAGCAGUUGACGUUGAGGAUGGAGCCCGGCUCCCGUAGGAGUCCGGGCGGAGUCUACUUGAGGUCGA